ACCAAAACAAAAGCAAAAUUGGGCUGCAAAGUUUGCCCAAAAGAGACAGAUCCUAAAAGCAAAACGGAAGAUGAAAAAACAAAAAUAGUAAUUAAAAACCCAGUCAAAUCUAACAGCUGGACGCAAUUAAAUCCCACCUUUUCAUAUUGAAUCGUCACAUCUGUUCAGAGGAUAACAGUUUCCCAAAAGAUUUUCUUCCAUCUGUUAUCAUUUCCAAAUCUCUUUUCUUUUGAAAACCCUUCAAUCCGGGUUCCUUGCCCAUUCCUCCUGCAGAGGUCCUUCACUGCAGAUCCUCUUGAUUCCGACCAGGUUCCUCUCUUCUCCCUUUGUUAAUGUUUCUUUCGCCAGUUUACGGGCUUGAUAGUUUUUUGGUUUUUGAAUAAACUAAAAAAUAAUUUCUUGAAAUCGAGAACUAUGAUUCUGAAUAUCUCUGAUAACUGCUCCAAUAAUCGACUUAUCCAUACCUGUUGCUUGACAUUUCUUUAUGACUGUCUUCAAAUCUCCCAUGAUUGUAACUGAUCGGAGACCCAUUGCUAAGCCUAACUUUACUGCCUGUAGGCAUGCAGAUGCUUCUACAAGAAACGGAGAUGAAAUGUUGGAAUGGAAGGUUAUUUUCAAGGCUCUUAUCUCUCCCCUCCAGUCUCGUACAAUAAUUCCCGACGCCGAUCUAUACCUGUUAGCAUCAAAAGCUGCAUCAAAAUGUAUUAUGUCCUGUGUUCUUGCUUCCCAAUGUCUCUGAACUUCGGCAGUCUUCAAGGUACGUUUUUCCAUUCCCACUGUUUCAAUCUCAGCUAAAUAAGUCUUUAUUCUGUGAACAAGAUCCCUUCCUGAUACAAUCUUCCUCUCAUGCACCAUUUGAUUUCGCGAUUCCAUAUCGCCCAUAAGGCACAGCAAAACACCUAACACUAUUCCUUGGUUCCUUUUUCGAAGACCCAAGUAAGCCAUGUUCUAGUAUUUUGAUCUUUGUAUGGUGUAACCCAAGACAUACUAAUGUUUUUCCAAACUUCAUUGCUUUUAGGGCACUGCAAAAAUACGUGGAGACUGUUCUCUUCCCCGGAACCACAUCGAGGACAUCUCACGUUUGUGGUUAAACGUUUGCAUCGUAGAUUGACUAGUGUAGGAAUGUAGUUCCAGGAUAUCCUCCAAAUCAAAAGUAGAAUUUUUGAUGGAAUUUGUAAUUGCCAUAAUUUUCUGUAGAAAUCUUUGAAUUCGGUCUGUAAUAAAUUAUUAGGAUCCGGAUUAGCAUCUUGUAAUAGUUUAUAAGCGCUCCGUACUGAGAAUUCUCCGGACGGUUCUCCCUUCCAAACGAGCAAAUAUUCACUGUCUGUAGUUGCAAGUGGGAUCUGUAAUAUUUUUUGCGCAAUGUCCGUUUGAAAGGUAUGAGUAACAACCUCCACUUUCCACGUCUUAUUUAUUCCAUCAAUUAGAUCUGAUACAUUUUCCAGCUCUCCAUUUUGAUGACUGUUUUGCCAUAUACUAGGUUCGAUUUCCAGAAUCCACCGGUCAGUCUAAAUAGAAAUGUUGCUUCCUUUCCCAACUCUCCAACAUAGCCCUUGAGUGAGAAGUCCCUUUGCAGCCCAGAUACUCUUCCAGGUAAGGGAAGGUAAAUUCCUCAACUCAGCACUUAGAAAAUUUGAAUUUGGAUAAUACUUUGCUUUAAGAACCCUGGCUAAAAGUGAAUUCGGAUAAUUGAAAAGACGCCACCCCUGUUUGGCAAGCAAUGCAAUAUUGAUCUGACUGAGAUUACGAAAGCAUAAACCUCCAUUCUCUUUUAAACUGCAUAAAUUUUUCCACGAGCUCCAAUGAAUUCCCCCUUUUCCAUGUCCCUUUUUCCACCAAAAUUUCGCAAUAAUUGCCUCCAUUUCGUCACAUAAGGAUUUCGAGAGUAAGAAGCAAGCCCUUGAGUAAUUCGGAAUAGCUUGCAAAACAGCUUUGAUAUAAAUCUCAUACUCCAAUUAUCAUUUCGUUGUUUUAUUCUGUCUUUCAACGCCUAAAAGGAAACCUUUUUCUUUCGUCCCACCAUGUUCGGCAAACCAAGGUAACGUUCAGGCUCAUUUGAACUUCGAACUCCAAGAAAAUUGACAAUCCGUCUUCUUUCCUCCUCAAUAGUGUUUUUGCUGAGAAAGAUGGUUGAUUUCUCAAAGUUCACACAUUGCCCCGAGCACCUUCUAUAUUCGCUUAAUAUUGACUUGAAUGUAUUAGCCCCUCUACAUGUUGCCUCCCCAGAAAAGAUACAAUUGUCUGCAAAUAGUAAGUGCGAUAUUUGUGGACCUAGUCUACUUUGACACCCUUUAAAAAUCCUUCCUCUACUGCUGUUCUCAUGAGUCUGGAAAGGCCUUCUCCACAUAUUAGGAAAAUAAACGGGCUCAAAGGGUCCCCUUGUCGAAGUCCUCUUGAUGGAUAGAAUUUCAUUCCAACAGUUCCAUUGAUCAUAACCUUGUAUGUAACAGUAGUCAAACAUUUCAAAAUAUUGUCAAUCUAAUUUUGAGUGAAUCCCAUUCGAGACAUUAACUUUUUGAUAAAAAUCCAUUCCACCUUAUCAUAAGCCUUGCUCAUAUCCAGUUUUACUUCCAAAUAACCCUUUUUCCCCACUCUUUUUUGCUUUAAAGAAUGUACUAUCUCAUAAGCAAACAAAACAUUAUCAAAAACUAAUCUUCCUAGCACAAAGGCACUUUGAGCCCUAUUAAUGCAUUUAUCAAUCACCCCUCUAAAUCUAUUCGCUAUAGCUUUUGCAAUAACUUUACAAACAACAUUGCAUAAACUAAUGGGCCUAAACUGUGACAUAUUUGUAGGAUUAUUAAUUUUUGGAAUGAGCACAAAAUGAGAUGAAUUAAUAGCACUGACCUCCAUAUAUCUGUUUAAGAGUAGAAGACAAAAGGAAACUGUAUCCUCGCCAAUAAAAUGCCAGCACUUCUGAUAAAAGAUGGCUGGGAAUCCAUCUUCACCUGGCGCCUUAGUGGGUCCAUUUCAAAAAGAGCCUCGUGAAUUUCUUCUCUUGUAUAAUGUGCGGUAAGCCUUUUAUUAUCCACGUCAUUAAUACAUCGAUUUAUACGGGAGAGUAAGUAAUCAAAAUUUCCCUGAUUCUCUGAUGAAAAUAGAUUUUGAAAGUAAGACCUAGCAAUUUCUUCCAUUUCCUAUAGAUUUUCCGUGUCCCUACCAUGCCCGGAUUGUAAACUCUUGAUCAUGUUUUUCUUUCACCAUUGAGUUGCUUGGCUAUGGAAAAAAGCUGUGUUUUUAUCCCCUUAUUUGAGCCAGUUCAGUCUUGCCCGUUGCUCCCAAUAUCUUUCAUCUUUCUCAAUCUCCAAGUUAAGUUGAACCUUCUUAUCGAUCAUCUCCGCCAUGUUGCUAUCAUCGCUCUCAGCUUCAAGCAAUUCAGAUAACUUUGCUGUUAAAUAAUUCUUUUUCCCUUUCUUGUUCUUUAAAAUUUUUCCUGCCCAAUCUUCCAGCCCCUUUUUUAAGAAAUCCAUCUUCUGUAGGAAAUUACCAGUUGAUAUCUUCUAUACAUGUUCGGCAAUGUCGACAAAGGAGUCCUUCAAAAACCACCAGUUUUCAAUUCUGAAACUUUUUUCAUUCUGCUGUCUGAUUUCCUUCUUUGUAUCAAUAAGGAGAGGACAAUGAUCAGAAAAAGAAUGCACCAAAUGCUGAGCUUUUAUAUCAGAGAAAAACGAAAUCCACUCCUUAUUUGCUACCCCUCUAUCCAAACGUUCUCGUAUAUUCGUCUGUAGUAGAUUACCUCGUUCCCAUGUAAACCAUCUACCCACGUAUCCCACAUCAUUCAGUUGGCAUAAUUCCAAAGAUUUCUGAAAUUUUCCAUCCUUCUCACAUCUCGGGGUUUACCUCCUUUCUUCUCACAACCAUACAUGAUUUCAUUAAAAUCUUCACAUACAAACCAUGGAUUAUUCUCUCCAUUAUAGAGGUUUUUCAAGAUAGCCCAUGAAUCUUCCUUAUCUUGUGCAUACGGAGUUACAUAAAAUCCUGUAAAUCGCCACAUAACCUCCCUUUCAUUAUCAUGCACUAUCACAUUAAUAUGUCUUUUAGAGAAGCUUUGAGAGUAAUAUUGACCUCAUGCCUCCAAGCCAAACAUAGCCCUCCUUUAGUUCCCUCUAGAUCCACCUCUAUGCCAUUCACAAAACCACAUCUUUGCCUAACUUUUUCCAUUUGAAUUCUGCCAAGUUUCAUCUCCAUAAAGAAGGCAAUCUGGGGGUCGUAAGUCUUCAGCGAAUGCUGAAGUCUUCUAAAUAUCCAUGGACUCCCCAAUCCACGGACAUUCCAACUUAGGAUUUUCAUAAUUCCCAGUCGGCUUGCCUCUUGGCAUUCGCCGAUAUCAAGUGGUUAAGGUCCCUCAAUCUCUUACUUCUUUUUGGGGAGGUAAUCCCCUCAUUUUGUAAUAAAUCGUCAUUCUCCAUUCUGGAUCUUUUUUUACCUUCUUCUCCUGCUAAAGCCACUUCCUCAAAAUCAUGUCCCAUCGCAUAAUGGCCACGGUCCAUCAAUGAGUUAACUUGCUUUUCAUCUUCACACAAGGAGCCACCUUCCACAUUAAAGCCCAUAAUUGGAUCAACUGCCUUACCAUAACUCUUAUUGCGCUCCAUUGUCUAUAGUCCCCUUACAAAACCCCUAUUUCCUUCUUGAAUUCCACCUGUAGUCCCCUCCCCAUCUUCUUGUAGCCGGACGCUAUUCAUAGACAGAGCUCUUCGGGACUGUGCUCUUAUUGAUAAGUCCCACCCAUUUCUGCGAGUUCCACUCCAAUCAACAUUUUUGCCUCACAAAAAGAAUCAUUGUGACCCAAUUUUCCACAAUAGAAACAAAAAAGUGUCAAUCUUUCAUAUGUAAACCAGACAUAUGACUUUCUCCCCCGGUAUUCGAGUAGCUUCUUUCUUUUCGAAAGACGUCUGGUAUCAACUUGGACCCUAAUCCUCAUAAAAUUCCUAUUUUCCUUCCCUAAAUUAGACCCAUCAUAUUCCAUGAAAUUUCCCAGAAUAUUCCCCAGAUUAAUUGCUAGGUUUUCAGAAAACAAACCAAUAGGUGCUUCAUGAAUCUGAACCCAAAAAGGGGUCAAUACUAAAGGGACCUGCAUGGGUUCCUCCUCCCACCUUAAUUUAUAAAGAAACAACAGAUGAUUGUUGAAUGUCCAUAGGGAGCCUUUCAAAACGCUUUCAAGAUCCAUAUAAUGAAAAAAUUGAAAUAAAAAUCCUUUUUCCCCCUAGAUCUCGGAUACGAACUCCACGAACAGGAUGCCACAGAUUUACCAUGGUACUUUUCAUGGCUGGAAAAUGAAUUAUACUUGCUGUAAGAAAGCACCCCACCAUUUGAAGAAACUCCUUUGUUCUUUCCGUUCCAGGAUUUUCUUGGAUUUGGAUAACAUCAUCCUCCUCUUCAUUAAUUGUUAAUUGGGCUAAUUCAUUCUCCAUACUUUUUCCAGAAACAGAAGUGCAGGAAUCCAGAAAAGAAGACGGGCAAAACAAGAAGACCUAAAAAAAACAGGAAAACCUAAAAGCUUGUCAGAGGCGGCAGACACAAUCGUGCUAGGGUAGCAGACUAAAUGCAAUUCAUCCUUAAUUUGAAAUAUUCAUAAAUAAUAAAAGAAAUAAAUAUUCUAAGAUGGAACUAAAAAAAAUAAAAAUUAACUUAAAGGUGAAAUUAAAUAGUAACGAAUUAGAAGUGAAAUAUAUCAAACGAUUUUUUUUUUUGUAUAAUUCAAAAAGUGAAAAUGAUAUAUAUAUUUCAAAUUAUAAAUGGACAAGUAAAAAAUCAUUAUUAAAAAAUAUGCAAGGCGUACAUAAAUUCGUAAUAAUAGUGCAAAUGUCUUAAUCAUAGACCGCAUCACUUCGAGGUUUUUUUUUUUUAAACUGUGUUUAUCUUAAUCAAUUCUGUUCCAGUACUACUAGUUAGAAUACUCUGUUCUGAUAGUAAAUCAAAACAAUAAGUUUAAUAAAUUUUAAGUUUUAUUUUGGUGUAAAUUUAGGUUGGUAUCGAUCGUGUUAGAUGAAUCGAUUUAUUUCACCUAUACUAGUUAGAACAUGGUGUAUCACUUAAUACAAAAAAAAAAUAAUUUUAAAAUAUAGAUUUAAUUUUAAUUUUUUAUAAUUUAUUUUGAAUUUAUUAAAUUAUGGGUUUUUAUAGACAUGGUAUGAGAUUGUUUUAUUAUUUAAUUUAUGCAAUAUUUUUUUGUUGCUUAUUUUUUUUAGUUUGUUUAAUGAUGGAUUGUAUUUGUGAAGCUUAUUAAAAAAUAUUUUAUAUUUAUUUAAUCUUGUUAUUUAAUAUUUGUACAUAAUUUUUUAUCUACAUAUAUCACAUGUUUUAUAAAUCCAAAAUUAUACACCAAAGCAAAACGGAACUAAUAUGUACCAAUUUUAGUAGAAAAAUAGCAUGCCUAUCGAUAUGGUACUAUCUUGGUUUAUCUUGUAAUAUAUAAUAUUAUAUAGGGUAAAUUACUAAAAUAGUCAUUUUUGUUUGUCUGAAGUUACAUUUUAGUCAGUUAUGUUAUCGCGUUGAAACAUUUUAGUCACCGAGUCGUUAAUUGUCGUUAAUAGUAUAAUGGUAAGCUGACGUGGCAUGUUAAGUCAUCAUUCCAAAUAAAAAUUUUGGGUUAGUUUAUACAAUU
RNAcentral lists this long non-coding RNA (6601 nucleotides) under Gossypium barbadense (sea-island cotton). RNAcentral's name for it is "long non-coding RNA (GBAR_LNC021497)". The record is from RNAcentral. Lineage: Eukaryota; Viridiplantae; Streptophyta; Magnoliopsida; Malvales; Malvaceae.